CAGCACAUGUACAGGUACUCUGUAUCUGGAAUGAUACAGAGACUAUUUAGCGCGGCCCCUGCACGAGGAUGACAUGCAAAUUUGUGAAGUGUUCUAUGUUAAA
This is a small nuclear RNA of Ailuropoda melanoleuca (giant panda), 103 nucleotides long. The record is from Ensembl. Lineage: Eukaryota; Metazoa; Chordata; Mammalia; Carnivora; Ursidae.